Molecule: long non-coding RNA, 8041 nt
Organism: Orcinus orca (killer whale)
Lineage: Eukaryota; Metazoa; Chordata; Mammalia; Artiodactyla; Delphinidae
Exons: 2
Source: RefSeq, a predicted model, not a curated record
AAGUUCUAAGUUAUGUUUAUUUGGGGGUGGGAGGGGGAUGUUUCAGAGACUAUAAAAAUGUAGGCGUCUUUUAGGAAAGGAUAAACAAGUCAGUCCUGAGGCAGGCACCCAGGUCAUGGUCAGAUAAGGUUAAAGAAGAGAUGACAGGGUGAUGUGGACUCCAGAGUAUCUGGGUUUGACCCUGCCUCUUACCAGCCACAUGACCUAGAAAGUCCGGCCCAGAACUUCUUCCAAAGUACUGUAGCAUGAGGGUUUUCUGUCCUGACGUGGGUGCUAGGAGCAGGAGGGCGGGGGCGGGGGCGGGGGAGUUGUCCCUCCAGGGUGCCAGCCCCAGCCCUCCUUCUGCUACGCCAAAGAGGCGAGGACAAAGGCCAGGGAGCUUUGGCUGCAAAAGUCAGAUGCAUCAGGGCUGCAGUGUUGUGAUAGAACCAACAAAUUAAAGGUCUUUCCCACUACAGAAAUCUGUGCCAUUUGAUAGAAAAAUAACAGUUUUCUAUUUUACAUAUUGGAACAGAAAAUAACUUGUGGCCAAGACCUCCAUAAUUUUCCUUGUGCUGUUAUUUUUCUCGUGUGGGCUCUUAUUGUGGUGAUGCGCUAACUGGCUGUUUGUCACUAGUUCUCUUCUUGUCCUCUUCCCUCCGUUGCCUGGCAUCUGAGUUUGUUUUUCAUUUCCAUCAGUGGCACACAAUUUCAAGCAGAUGUUUUAAAAAGUGCUUGACUUUUAAGCCGGGUAUGCCGUGCUCUCUUGAUGGUGCCGUACUCAGCCCCAGAUCUGGUUUGCAAAUGAAGAUGCUGGUGCGCUAGUUGGCUUGAUUUUGGACUGAUUUCCACGGGGUUGUUAUUGCUUGAACAUACCCUGGAAGCCUGUCAGCAUUUUGAACCUGCCCACGCUAUUUUUGGGGGCGGGGGGGGAGACACAGGCCCAGCACAGACUGUAGGGCUGAGAAGCACACGCUUUAGAGCAGGGCGACCUGUGUUUGAACCCUGCCUUCACUGCAUGCUGGCUGUGUGAUCACAGACGCUUGCAAGUUUCUUGUCUGUAAAAUGGGGGUAAGAAUGGACCAGCACCUCAUGGGCUGACAAGCGAUAAAGUGUGUAAACCAUUUCGGUUCAGUGACUAACAUGGAGUAAGCACUCAGUGCAUCCCAAAAGAGUGGUAUUAUUUCUGUCUAGAUUUUAAAAAUCCUUACAAGAGUCCUACGGGGUAGGUUGCUAUUAAUAUUAUCAUCACUGGUUGUGGAUAAAAAAGCUGAGGCACAGAGUGGUUAAGUAACUUGCCCAAGGUGGCACAGCCAGUAAGUGGCAGAGCAGUCUGGCUCCAGGGUCUCUCUGGGUCGCUGUUUGGUGCUCAGUGGGGCUGGAUGGUACAUAACAAGCAGUGCAUACUCUAUUUCAGGCACCAGGAGUAAGCACUUCACAGCACAGGAUUUUAUUUAACUCCCUAACCUAACUCCCUUGCUACGUUCUGGGGGAUGCUAUGACUAGCUUUGUGAUAGAGAUGAGGGAAAUCAGAGGGUCAAAUGAGGUCAGGGAGGACUAUGCUGCUGAGAGAGGCUGGCCCCCCAGUCUCUUUCUCUGCACGCCGCUGGGCAUGGGUCCUUCAGAGCUGGACGGACCUGAGCGGUCAUCUCAUAUAAAUGUCCCCAGGAUGCCAAGGGGGCUCCUGGAGACCCAUGGGUUGGAGCCCACAUGCCCUGACUCCAGCCCAUUGUUUUAUGUUUUUGUUCAUGGUAUUAUGAUAACAAUAUCAAUGGCCACUGUAAGUAAUUCAAUAUAAUUCAUGUUUUCUUUUCCUCCGGCCACAAGUCUUCUAAUAAUAAAAAGUUUCUAAAAUGAAUAAGUAUUAAAAACCUAAUUUGCACAAGCACGAGGAAGUCCAGAAGGCCAAGUAAACAAGAAAUCUGGGCACUUUUCUUUAGAAAAUAGAAGUAGUAGGGGAAAAAAAAGGCUAAAAAGUGCUAAAAGUAGAUGUGAGAAAGGAAUACUGCAAAAUUCCUUCAUGUUAUCCGUAUUCUGGAAAAUUACUGUCCACAGUUACAUAUUAGAAGAUAAUUCUGGUUAUAGUUCUGCCAGGAAAAAGGUGGGUUUUUUUUUCUGAAUUAGGUAUUCUUUUUGCUAAUUCUGCCCACUAUAUACGUACCAUAAAUAAAUUUUAGUGCUGUGGAAAAGUACAGGCAUGCUCUGUGAGUUGAUUCUAACUGAUUUUACAUUUGAACCUUGCAUCUGGGGAUACAGUAAAACUAUGCCAUAAUUCAUCAUCAGUAACAAGACAGUCAUUAAAAUGUCGCUUUCCAUGAUACCUCGUACACAGCUGUUUAUUACUAAGAGUCUCAUUUUUAAAUGCUUUAACCUAUUACAAGUUUCCUUGUUACCAGCCAAAAGGAAAGGCAGCCCGGCAGAGUCUCUCUAAAUGUCCUAAAGACAGCCUCUCUCCUCUCCAGAGCACACUUCCAAAUCCCAAGAAACACACAGCAUUAGUUUUUGCCAAGUACGUUAUGGAGGACCUAUUUUCCAUUAAGUUAAGCCAGUUAGUCUUAUACACUUUCCCUUUUUUAGAACCUCUGCUUUUGUUUGAUACACAUUUGGAAAUUUUAUUGAUUUCCCAAGAAGCUAAGUUCUGCACAAUUUAGCAGAACCAGGAAAGGUACCGACUGAGUUUCCCACCGAUUUUCAAAUGGGAUCAUUUUCUUUCAAACACUCACUGGAUUUCGGUUGGAAUGAGACAGGUGGUUUUAGGCUCAAAGCUAUUCAAGGCUGACAGAAUAAUAAAGCAAGGCCAGCAGACUUUCUCACAGACACCCUGUGCAAGUGCUGGCAGAACCCUGCAGGCUCUGCCCUCUACCUCUGCAGAGACAGGUGACAGGUGAUCCCCACACUGACUUCAGAUGAACCUGGCACCUCCGGGCUCCUGGGGACCCAGGGUGACUGAUACAGGCCCACCUGCCUCCCUAGAAUGUUUUGGUUUGGAACGCAUCUGAGUCCAUUCACCUGUGCCGACCAAGGGCCACGACUGGGAUGGACAAGGUGCCAGGGUGCGGGCAGGUGGGAUGGGUCCAGGCAUUCUCUCGGUCUUGCCCAUUCAGCUCAGUUCAGCAGAAACACACUGAGUCCCUGCCAGGCUGCCAUAGAGCACACAAAAGACUGUUUGUCACGGAGGCUUGCAAUCUCCCUCUCACGCACAGCACUUUGGUAACACGAAAUUCGUCUCCCUCGUCUCAUCCAAGCACUAAGUCUCUGAUAACUUAGAGCUGGGCGGAAGACCAAAUAAAUACACAUCUCGGCACAUCUGGGGACCCAGCUGUAUUUAAGUCCAAAUAAUGCCAGAGAGGGUUCUUGUAGGAGAACAGAGUUGGGAAAUCAUUAUUAUCCUGUGCGAUAACAUGAGCUGACAUGUGUUGAAAAAGACAGUGUGCUAAGUACUUUACAUGCAUUAUCUCAAUUAAUCCCUAAAACAUCUCUAGAGGGAAAUACCACUUUUAAUACAAUUUUUACAGAAAAUGAGGCAUAGAAGUAACUGUCGACAGUCAUUUAGCUGAUAAGUGAUGGAUUUGAAACCCAAACCCGGGUUGGAUUAACUCCAGAGUCUAAGAAUGUAACCAUUUUUGCUAAUCUGCAUUUAUCAUUUAAUCUUGUCUAUUAACAUGUGGGAAAUGAGGAGCAUACACGUGUUCUCCUCAUCUGAACAUGUCUUUUUUUAACUUCACAUCAAAAUGCAUGCACCGUCAGUUUCUACCAAUUACCAAAUGCACAAAUCAGAAACACAGCUCAGCCCAGUGUCAUGAGCCAUGGUUAUUCUCGUUAGAGAAAAACCCACUCAAAUAUAUUGCACUCGGUGUGGAGUGACAGAACUGUCAUAAAGGUAAUCAUGUAAAAAACAAAAUCUGCCAUUAUCCAGUUCCUGAAUUUCUGAGUUGUUUUCUGUACCAGCUAGUGAUGAACACCCUUCCUCUAUUCAUCAUUCCCAGUUUUAUACUCUUGGGACUAGGAUAUCAUCACUAUCAAACCAGAGAUGUAAAUGACUAGGAAACAUUUAGUUUUAGGCUUAGAGUCCUAGUAAAUCAAAAGAGCAAGAUGGAAAAUAAACUAUAAAGUUACGAUGUCAGCUGGAGACUUUUUAUAGCUGGGCCUUGACAGUGGUUUGCAAGUUUUAGUAUUGCAGAUGGUGGAAAGCAAUCUGCCCAGGAGAACCGAAGUCUCCAAGCGCACACAGACCAAAGAUAAUUACAAGAUCCUUGAACUGAAAGUCACCUCUAUUGCAAUCCCUGCUUUCAGGACCAUUUAGUUGUUUAUAUGAGCAGAGAAGGCAAAGCCUUUAACAAUACCUGCAUGGGUAAUUUACUUGAGAAGUCAGAGGACUCAACCCCACCCAGUCUUUCCUCUUAACACCCUAACACACACACACACACACACACACACACACACACACACACACACAAUUUGGCCAGAGAAUUCUAGGCUUCUACAGAAAUUACAUCUUAACUGAGUCACUGAAUUAAUUCAGUUAAUUAAUUAACUGAAUUAAUAUAAUUCAGUUAUAAUGUAACUGAAUUAUAUUAAUUAAAACAAUCUUCACUCUUUAAAGUUGAAUUUUGCUAUAACUUUUUUCAUGGAAACUUUACUAAUCCUCUAAAAACUGGGAACAGAGAUUCUUAAUCUGGGGUUCGUGGAUAUGCUUCCCUGAAACAAGAAACAAGAUGAAGUAUUUACUCAGUGGAGUUGCAUGUGCAAUAUACUGCGGAGAAAGUUCAUAGCUUUCAUCAGCUUCUCAAAGGAACCUGAGACCCCUUAAAGCCUCAAAACUACUGUCCUAGAUACUGGUCCUCUAGUGUAGCUGAAGGACAUGAGAGUUAAAAAAGAUCCUAUUUCACUCUUACUCAGCACUUUCUAGAACUUCAUGCUGACAGGAGGUUCUAGCCCAGCAGUUGCUUCUUUUUUAUAAAAACCAAAACAAUUGUUGGAGGUGUCAGCGUCAAGGACAGGUUUUAGCAGGAGAAGGUAACAGUAUCUCUGAGUCCCCUUCCCAGGAGCCACUGCUGGCCACCCUACAGUCCCCAUCAGCACACUGCAUGGCGCAGGCAUGUGCACAGAGCUGGGUUUCAAUGCAUGGGGUUCAAUCCUCGAUCUGUUACUUUCUAUUGGUUGCAUGACCUUGGUCAAAUAAAUGCUUCCCUAUCCUAUUUUUUUCAUCUAUAAAAUGGGGGAAAUAAUAAUAUCCUCUCAAGAAUUAUAUAAGGAUUAAAUGAGAUAAUGUGGAAGUAGUGCAUGACACACAGUCACCUAUCUGAAACCCUUGGAAACAGAUGUGUUUUGGAAUUCACGUUUUUAAGAAAUGUAAUAUAUUGCUGUCCUCUACAUUAUUUAAUACCACCAGCAUAACCCAUAAUAAAUGGAUAUUUCUACAGCAGAACUAUGAAUAUUCACAUUAAGAGGGAUGAACCAAGAUUACAGACAGCCUCAUGUCAAUUCAGGACAGGUUCUGCCACCCCAAAAUGUCAGUUUUCAGAGCAUUUUGGAUUUGGGGAUUGAGAACAAGCAACUGUCAGCCUGCUUGGAAGAAUCCUACUUUCUUCAGUUCCCAAGGCCCUAAUUCUCGUCAUUGCUGAGUCACCAACCUUGGCUUGUCCUCAUACUUCUAUUCUCUGUGCAUUGGCACCGGGCCUGUGGCUGAGGUGGUACCCAGUGUAUUUCUCUUACCAUAAUGCUCAUUUGAACCGUGUUCCGCUUGACCCGUGGCUCCCCUCUCCUACUAUGGUUCUGAGUGAAGAAGACUCCUCUCUUCUCUUGGCUUUGUCUCAACCUCUCCCAGUUCCCGAGGCAAUCUCUCUCCCACAGCUCCCCUGUUCCAAGGGCUGUCCGCCUCCUGUUCAAUAUAUUCUCAGAAACUCUCAAAGUUCCUCCCUGUGACGUUGGCAGGUACGCUGGUGAGAAGAACACUCUUCUCCUGGAGACAGACGAGACAUUCCUCGGUUUCAUUCAGAGUGUCCCAAGAGAAAGAAGAUGGACUCCAACAUCAACAGAACAGCCGAGGGGGACACUUCUAGGGGCUCAGUGACAGUCAGUGGCAGGUAGGAGCUGCCGGAGGCUACCGUCAUGAUACUACCUGGCCGUGGGAUCACACGGUUUAGUAUUGGUGGUGCAAAGGGGACGAUCAGACAUAUGGGGGUUUGAUUUCUCCUUGUUUCACAUGCUGUGUGACCUUGGGUAAGUUACUCUAAAUUCUCUGAGCCUCAGCUAUAAAAUGGGGAUAACAUUACCCACUUGACUAGGGCUGUAAUUAGGAGUAUGUCAGCUAACCUAUAUAAAUGCCCCAAUAACUAUCCAGUCCCUUCCUUAAGUGCCCUUCCCUAGACUUUCCCUCACUAGACUGGGAGACCCCUGAAGGGCAGGAACAGAUCUUCUCCUUGUAUUUAUUUCUAGCGUAGGUUCUGGCCCAUAGCAAGCAAGCCUGUAAUAAGGUAGUGAAUAAAUGAAUGCAAUUGUUUUUGCAGUUGGUAGCACACCUUUAGUUCCUGCUAAAUCAGAUAUCCACAAUUUGAGAAGAGGAAACUAGGGUGAGGAUGCCUGAGCCAGAGCUUCCUGGUCCAAAUAACCAUGUUUCCCUCUGAUGUGGAUAACAGAGGUAGACUGCACAAGUUCUUCCACUCAAUAAUAAUGUUUUCUUUUUAAAAUGGAACUUUAAAUUUUAUAGACAGAGUAUUACAUCCUAGUAACUAGAAUGAAAACUCCUUCUUCUACUCAACUGUCUCAUUUAAUUCUUAUUACAACUUAUUUGGUAGGUAACAUUGUUGUUUCCAUCUUAUAGCUACAGAAACAGAGAUCUGUGUUCACAACUGAUGCUUAUCAUUCGUAUUAAUAUAAUCCUAACCAGUGUAUUCUUCCUUUUUCUUCCAGGUUUAUUGAGCUAUAAUUGACAUACAGCACUGUGUAAGUUUAAGGUGUACAGCAUAAUGAUUUGAUUUACAUAUCAUGAAAUGAUUACCACAAUAAGUUUAGUGAAUACCAUCUCACAUAGAUAUAAAAUUAAAGAAAUAGAAAAAGUUUUUUUCCUUGCGAUGAGAACUCUUAGGAUUUACUCUCAACUUUCACAUAUAACACACAGCAAUGUUAAUUGUAUUUAUCAUGUUGUACAUUAAAUUAUAUCCCUAGUACUGAUUCAUCCUAUAAUUGGAAGUUUGUACCUUUUGACUACCUUCAUCCAAUUUCCCCUCCCUCCAAAGUGUUGCAUUUUUAAAAGAUGUCUCAAUUUAGAGUAAGACUUGAAGAUCUACUACAUCUCAAUACCUCUUUCACUAAUCCUCAACUAUUAUUAAUUAAACUAAUUAAUUAUUAAUUUCACUAAUCCUCAACUAUUAUUAAUUAAUUUAAUUCUAGCAUUCUCUUGGGUUCAAGCAGAUGACAAUGACCAAACUAAUUCUAAAAUAUUUUGUAGACCCCAAGAUUCAUUUAGGGCUUUCACUGGUUUUGGAAAUUAAGACACCUUGGAUUUAAAAGCUUAUUCAAGCAGCUUUGCAUACAGUUAUUCUGUUUUCUUGGACUAGAGAAGAAACUAAAUGAUUCCAAUUUAUCAAUAUAGAAAUCAAUGAUGCUGUUUUUGCAGCAUUUUUAAUUAGCCUCAGUUCCUUAUCUGUGAAGGGGACACUAACAGUAUUUGCCAUGCUUAUGCGAGACACCCGUGGAAACACCAGGGCUUUGCCAGCUGUGAAAAGCUGCAGCUGCUAGAUGUAACCCUAUUGCGAUAGACUGCCAAAGGUCCUUUCCAGUGCUAAUUUUCCAUAAUUCCAAGAUUCUGUAGUCCAGCAGUAAACAAGGUUUUUACUUACAAUCUACAUUUUUCUUUCUGUCUGAUCCUUAUUUUUGCUGUCUGAAAGAAACUUUGGGGAAAAAAAAUGCAGUGCGUGUGUGUGUUUCUUUUUUCUUAUAGUACAGUAGUUGCCCCCUUACCCAAGGUUACACUUUCUGAGGUUUCAGUUACCUCUGGUCAACUGCAGUCUGAAAAUGUGAAAUGGAAAACUCCAGAAAUAAACAAUUCUUAAAUUUUCAA